This 273-nucleotide ribosomal RNA is filed under the name uncultured bacterium. RNAcentral's name for it is "partial 16S ribosomal RNA". It matches the Rfam family "Bacterial small subunit ribosomal RNA", at positions 524 to 796 of the family's 1533-position model. The record is from RNAcentral.
UACGAGAGGCCCAAACGUUAUUCGGAAUCACUGGGCUUAAAGAGUUCGUAGGCGGUCUAGAAAGUUGGGUGUGAAAGCCCUCGGCUCAACCGAGGAACUGCGCUCAAAACUACUAGACUUGAGGGAGAUAGAGGUGAGCGGAACUGAUGGUGGAGCGGUGAAAUGCGUUGAUAUCAUCAGGAACACCGGAGGCGAAGGCGGCUCACUGGGUCUCUACUGACGCUGAGGAACGAAAGCUAGGGGAGCAAACGGGAUUAGAAACCCCCGUAGUCC